Molecule: long non-coding RNA, 737 nt
Filed under: Cricetulus griseus (Chinese hamster)
Lineage: Eukaryota; Metazoa; Chordata; Mammalia; Rodentia; Cricetidae
Description: lncRNA (ENSCGRG00015029091.1)
Source: RNAcentral
AGGAGGUCUUUUCAACACUAAGUACUUUCAUACAUGUUAUCUCGGACAUCCUGUACAAACACAAUUAUCAACACAACAUAUACCCUAGCACAGCUCAACUCAGAAACACAUUUUUAGGAUGCUCCUCGAUUUAUAGCGGGGUUAUUCCUGAUAAAGGCCUUGCAUGUACUACUCGUAACCUCCAGAGCCCCACAGCUCAUCAACACAGUUUACUCCAGAGCACCAGGUGCGAUGGCAGGCUGACUGGGAGUUGGGCUAGCCACCCCUGGCCAGCACAAAUGUAAGUACUGCCAAUCAGUAACAAGUUUGUGCAUAUGUUACUCCUAAUGUCUUAAUGAAUUUGCUUUUUCACAACUCGGCAAUUCAUGGUAGAGCCUUGUCUUAGAAAUGCAGACAUCAAAGGAAUUAACUCAGGCUUUUGGUUCAAGAGAGACAGAGCCUAGAUUCAGAGAUGGUCUUGUUCCAACAUUCAACCUCCACUGACAUAAAUUAUAAGUUUGUUAGUCUUGCCCCCCCCAAAGCCAAUUAGAUAAUAGGAUUUAUCUCUCCACUUACCAUGAUAUAGUUCAGUUCCCAGCACCCACAUGGCAGCUUGCAACUAUUCUAGUUCCAGGGUAUCCAAUGCCCUCUUCUGGACUUUGUGAGUACCUUCAUGCAUGUAGUCCACGAUAAGCAGUCACACACACAUGGACACAUAAAAACAUUUUUGUCUUUAAAGUUAAGAUGACUUGUGGAAC